GCCAGACUCCUACGGGAGGCAGCAGUGGGGGAUAUUGCACAAUGGGGGAAACCCUGAUGCAGCGACGCCGCGUGAGUGAAGAAGUAUUUCGGUAUGUAAAGCUCUAUCAGCAGGGAAGAAAAAAGACGGUACCUGACUAAGAAGCCCCGGCUAACUACGUGCCAGCAGCCGCGGUAAUACGUAGGGGGCAAGCGUUAUCCGGAUUUACUGGGUGUAAAGGGAGCGUAGACGGCAAUACAAGUCGGAAGUGAAAUACCCGGGCUCAACCUGGGAACUGCUUUGGAAACUGUAUGGCUGGAGUGCUGGAGAGGUAAGCGGAAUUCCUAGUGUAGCGGUGAAAUGCGUAGAUAUUAGGAGGAACACCAGUGGCGAAGGCGGCUUACUGGACAGUAACUGACGUUGAGGCUCGAAAGCGUGGGGAGCAAACAGGAUUAGAUACCCCCGUAC
RNAcentral lists this ribosomal RNA (447 nucleotides) under uncultured bacterium. Its description in RNAcentral is "bacterial SSU rRNA". It matches the Rfam family "Bacterial small subunit ribosomal RNA", at positions 330 to 793 of the family's 1533-position model. The record is from RNAcentral.